This 184-nucleotide unclassified non-coding RNA is filed under the name uncultured Inocybe. RNAcentral's name for it is "sequence contains ITS2". Lineage: Eukaryota; Fungi; Basidiomycota; Agaricomycetes; Agaricales; Cortinariaceae. The record is from RNAcentral.
AAAUUCUCAACCACACUGUGGGUGUGGCUUGGAUAUUGGGGGCAUCAUUUGCAGGUCUUGAAAAAGAGGUCUGCUCCCCUGAAAUGUAUUAGCGGUAUCUGCUACUACAGGUGUGAUAAUUUAUCUGCGCCUCUAGUAUUCAGCAAUAUGAUUACACUGCUUCUAAACACCUCUCGUCUAAUGA